This 404-nucleotide unclassified non-coding RNA is filed under the name soil metagenome. Its description in RNAcentral is "partial contains 5.8S ribosomal RNA, internal transcribed spacer 2, and large subunit ribosomal RNA". The stretch from base 1 to 121 matches the Rfam family "5.8S ribosomal RNA", at positions 35 to 154 of the family's 154-position model. The record is from RNAcentral.
GAUGAAGAACGCAGCGAAAUGCGAUAAGUAAUGUGAAUUGCAGAAUUCAGUGAAUCAUCGAAUCUUUGAACGCACCUUGCGCCCUUUGGCCAUUCCGAAGGGCAUGCCUGUUUGAGUAUCAUGAACACCUCAACUCUUCAUGGUUUUCCAUGAUGAGCUUGGACUUUGGGGGUCUUGCUGGCCUGUGGGUCGGCUCCUCUCAAAUGAAUCAGCUUGCCGGUUUUUGGUGGGCAUCACAGGUGUGAUAACUAUCUACGCUUGUGGUUUUCCACCAGGGUAACCUUCAGCAGUGGAGGUUCACUGGAGCUUACAAAUGUCUCUCCUCUGUGAGGACAGCCCUUUGAAUGUUUGAUCUCAAAUCAGGUAGGACUACCCGCUGAACUUAAGCAUAUCAAUAAGCGGGA